GUAGCGGGCAAGUCACGUUCCCGUAUUCUCUAAUUCCCACCGAAAGCGUCAAUUCCCUUACCUCGCAGAAAUUCACCUCUUACCUCACAUCUCUCUCUCCUACGUAUACAUUGCGUUACCAAUUCCAUUUCCCUGUCUCUCUCUAUAUUUACACACACUCUUCUCUUGCUUUUUCAUUUGCCGCCCCUCUAUCUCUCUGUAUAUGAUUUUUGAGAUCUAACGAGGAGAGGACUUAAUUCUGUGUUCUAAACCUGAAAGCUUCAGCUUCUAUGGCUUUUUUUUCUUCAUUCUAAUUAGCUUAUACUGUGAGUGUAUCUCUCUUUUUCCGCUCCCCAAUCAAUCAGAUUCUACAAGUGCUUUUCUCGUCUUCUUUAUACAAACUAUGUGGAGGUUCAAAUCCUUUACUCAAAAAGAGCCAGCAGGGCUUGAAGGUCGUUAUAUCGAUGUUGGCAAUCUUAAGAUUCAUGUCAGGAAUGCCAUUGCUGAGGGAGGUUUUUCCUGUGUUUAUUUCGCUCGGGAUGCUGUGCAUGCAUCAAAGCAAUAUGCUUUAAAGCACAUGAUAUGCAAUGAUGAGGAAUCACUGGAACUGGCAUUGAAGGAGAUAAAUGUGAUGAAAUCACUUAAAGGGCAUCCCAAUAUUGUAACACUAUAUUCACAUGCCAUCUUGGAUAUCGGAAGGACCAAGGAAGCACUCCUUGUGAUGGAAUUUUGUGAGAAGUCUCUGGUUAGUGUGCUGGAGAGCAGAGGAGCAGGAUAUUUUGAGGAAAAACAGGCCCUUUCCUUAUUCAGAGAUGCAUGCAAUGCAGUUUUUGCAAUGCAUUCUCAGUCUCCACCUAUCGCUCACAGGGACCUGAAAGCCGAAAAUCUUCUAUUGGGACCUGAUGGACUCUGGAAGCUGUGUGAUUUUGGGAGUACCUCUACCAAUCAUAAGCGUUUUGAGAAGCCUGAAGAAAUGGGAAUUGAAGAAGAUAACAUCCGAAAGUAUACAACACCUGCCUAUAGAGCCCCUGAGGUUGAAUGAAAAAAAUAUGCUUUUGAAAAUAAUCUUUCUAAACUCAUUGUGUUAUUAAUGUUUGAUUGCAGUCUUUCCUCUUUUUCUUGAUUUAGAUGUGGGAUCUGUUGCGAAGAGAUCUUAUAAGCGAGAAGGUAGACAUAUGGGCCCUUGGCUGUUUGCUCUUUCGUAUAUGCUACUUCAAAAAUGCAUUUGAUGGGGAGUCAAAGUUACAAAUAUUGAAUGGAAAUUAUCGCAUUCCAGACUUACCCAAGUACAGCACACCAGUAAAAGAUUUAAUCAGGGACAUGCUUCAAGCUUCACCAGAUGACAGACCAGACAUCACGCAGGCAAGCGCUUUGCUUGAUUGGCAAUUCAUCUCCAUGAACUUAGGUGUGGUUUCGUGUUAACGAGCAGUUACCAGUUAAUCUGCAGAAGUCAUUGCCUGAUGGACCACCUGAAAUGCAGCCUACUGGUGUACAUGAAGGUUCAAAACUUGCAAAUAGGUCACAUCCAAUGCCUCGUAGAAGUCCACCACCUCCACCUUCAUCUGGGGGAGGGGGAGGUGGGGGACAACUUGGUGCUUUCUGGUCCUCUCAACAUGCAAAGGACUCAUUCUCUGUUGAAGACAAUAGCAGACCUAAAUUUGAUGAAGAACCUAGCCAUAACACAUCUAGACAGGAUACGUGUGGAAUGGAGAAUCAUACCUUAUCCAAAAAUUCCAGCCCUGCAAAAGAUGAAAAUGCACAAACUUAUGCCACUCGGAGGAGUGUGCAUGGUAAGUCGCAGAUUUCCGAGGAUGGCACUUCCAAGGACUUUGAAAUAAAAUUCUUCCAGAAAGAAUUAGACCAUGGCAUGGAGAGGCUGAAAGCAUCAAAGAAUGAUAGCACGUCUUUAUUUCAAGAUGAGGCUUUUAAUAAUUUUGUUGCUGAAUUUGAUAGCAAUAAGCUGAACUCCAAAGACAGUAAUAGCAAAUCAGUAAAAGAAGAAGAAUUAGAGGCUGAAAUAGAGAGGCUUAGAGAGCAACUGAAGCAAGCAAAUUUCGAGAAGGUGGAAAUGACUUCAAAGUAUGAAAAGCUAUCUUCCAUUUGCCGAUCUCAGAGGCAAGAGAUACAGGAGCUCAAGCAAGCAAUGGCUACUAGAACUCCAUCACCAAAUAAGCAUCAUGCUUCCCCUAAAGUUCAAUCAUCAACAACUCCCAAGCGAGGAGAAUCUGACUGGAGUACCCCAAAUUCAGAGCCCAAGCCAUGGCAAGCAUUUGCAAAGGAUCCCAAGUCACAUCAGCAGCCUCUUUCAAAGGCCAACAGUCCUCAAUCUGUUAGGACACGAAAUGCAAACCAGAAAAUUCAGGUUUCUCAGGCAUCUUCUGAAUUUGAGUCAUGGGGUUUUGGAGCGGAUAGUUUUACAGCUUCUGUUGCUGCCAGCACUCAGAUUUCAGGACCCAGUAAUGAAGGAAAUAGUUCUCAGCACUUUGGUGGGGAGAAGACCGUGGGGAGUCGGCCAGCUACUCAACCUGCUGGAUGGGCUGGUUUCUAGCUCAUGCUAUCUGAGAAGUUACAGCGGAACGCUUUUGUCAGAACCAUGGUAUCUUUACUUUGCAGUCAUGCUUCAAAGAGAUAGGUAUACAGAGAAAUAAACAAUAUAUGGCUUCAGGGCUUGUCUUGAUGUAUUGAGUGCUUUUGAUUUAUAGAUUUACUUUUGCAAAUAGGACAUGUGCCCAUUAUUCUAUAGACUAAACAGCAGAGUACUUGUGUAUACUUUCCUGCAUGUCUCAAUUAUUAAGUAUUCAAUUUGUCUUUUAAUAUUUUCGUUUUCUGGAGCUCUACUGUUGGCUGUAGAGACAAGUAGAGCGGGUCCAUUUUGGUGCCCUAAGUGUAAUUACUACUUUGAGGAGACUGAAACGUGCAUUUUUCUGGAAACAAAGGCAAGUGUGUG
This 2926-nucleotide unclassified non-coding RNA is filed under the name Hevea brasiliensis (rubber tree). The record is from RNAcentral. Lineage: Eukaryota; Viridiplantae; Streptophyta; Magnoliopsida; Malpighiales; Euphorbiaceae.